RNAcentral lists this long non-coding RNA (504 nucleotides) under Panax ginseng (ginseng). RNAcentral describes it as "long non-coding RNA (PGIN_LNC016240)". The record is from RNAcentral. Lineage: Eukaryota; Viridiplantae; Streptophyta; Magnoliopsida; Apiales; Araliaceae.
UCGACCAGGUCGUUCCCAGGAAAGAUGGGGCUUUCCAAUAAGGAUUUCUCCCUAUUGGCGCGCAAUUAGGUGACAAAACCUCUCCAUGACAGAACUUCUAGUCAUCGUUAAUAUUGCAAAUAAUAAUAUUAAUAACUUUGUCAUCUUAAUUAUUAAAUUAAUAAUAUAUAAAAUAUUGACAAUAAUUGAAUCAAAUAAUGUGAGAUACUAUGUAGCAAUUACUGUAGCAAAAAUUGAACAAAAUUGAGUGACUUCUCACGUAAGCAUCAAUAAUCAAUACCGUGUGCUACUAUGCAACCACGCGUAUUACUGUAUUUUUAACACCGGGUGUUUCAACAGUUAAUGGUAAAACUUCCGCCGUUAUUUUUAUAAAAAUAUUUUUGUAAUUUUCUCAAUCCGACAAUAAUUCCAUUGUGGGGUCCACCAAUGAUUGUGACGUCGUACGAAUAUUCCCUGUUAAAACGAAUAUUCCCCGACCAAUCGAAUAUUAUAUAACAACUUGCA